GCGUAACGCUGGCGGCGUGUCUUAGCCAUGCAAGUCGAGCGGACUUAUGGGGUAACUUAUAAGUCAGCGGCGGACGGCGGAGUAACACGUAGCUAACCUACCCUCUGGACGGGGAUAACCUACCGAAAGGUGGGCUAAUACCCGAUGUAGUCAUCCUGUAUAGGGGUGAUGAAAGGUGGGCUUCUGUUUACAAGCUCAUGCUGGAGGAGGGGGCUGCGGCCUAUCAGGUAGUUGGUAGGGUAAUAGCCUACCAAGCCGAUGACGGGUAGCCGGCCUGAGAGGGUGACCGGCCCGAGGGGCACUGAGAUACGGGUCCCACUCCUACGGGAGGCAGCAGGCUAGAAAUUUGGGCAAUGGGGGAAACCCUGACCCAGUGACGCCGCGUGCAGGAAGGAGCCCUUCGGGGUGUAAACUGCUGUCGUGUAGGGAGAAGGGUACUAAGGUGAACAAUCUUAGUACUUGACGGUACUACAGGAGGAAGCCCAGGCUAACCUCGUG
This 498-nucleotide ribosomal RNA is filed under the name uncultured bacterium. Its description in RNAcentral is "bacterial SSU rRNA". It matches the Rfam family "Bacterial small subunit ribosomal RNA", at positions 32 to 507 of the family's 1533-position model. The record is from RNAcentral.